RNAcentral lists this long non-coding RNA (1081 nucleotides) under Calidris pygmaea (Spoon-billed sandpiper). RNAcentral describes it as "lncRNA (ENSCPGG00000008992.1)". The record is from RNAcentral. Lineage: Eukaryota; Metazoa; Chordata; Aves; Charadriiformes; Scolopacidae.
GGACUUCUGUAAGGCCUUUGACACGGUCCCUCACAACAUCCUGCUUGCCAAAUUAGAGGGAUAUGGAUUUGAUGGGUGGACUGUUCAGUGGAUAAGGAACUGGCUGGAUGGUCGCAUCCAGAGGGUGGUACUCAAUGGCUCAAAGUCCAGAUGGAGAGCAGUGACAAGUGGUGUCCCACCAAGCUGUGUGGUGUUGUCGAUACACCAGAGGGAUGGGAUGUCAUUCAGAGGGACCUGGACAGGCUGGAGAGGUGGGCCCAGGUGAACCUCAUGAGGUUCAACAAAAGCAAGUGCAGGGUUCUGCACCUGGGCCGGAACAAUCCUCAGUAUCAAUACAGACUAGGGGAUGAGGUAUUAGAAAGCAUCCCUGAGGAAAGGGACUUGGGGGUGCUGGUGGAUGAGAAGCUGGACAUGAGCAGGCAGUGUGCACUUGCAGCCCAGAAGGCCAAUCGCAUCCUGGGCUGCAUCAAAAGAUGCGUUGCCAGCAGGUCCAGAGAGGUGAUUCUUCUGCUUUACUCUGCUCUGGUGAGACCUCACCUGGAGUAUUGUGUGCAGGUCUGGAGCCCUCAAUAUAGGAAGGACAUGGACCUGAUGGAGAGGGUCCAGAGGAGGGCCACUAAAAUGAUCAGGGGGUUGGAGCACCUCUGCUAUGAGGACAGGCUGAGGGAGCUGGGGUUGUUCAGCCUGAAGAAGAGGAGGCUCUGGGGAGACCUAAUAACAGCCUUCCAGUACCCGAAGGGGGCCUACAGGAAGGCUGGGGAGAGCCUGUUUACAAAGGCCUGCAGUGACAGGACGAGGGGUGUGGAGGAAUGGCUGUGUGAAAAGGGGCACGAUUUAAUUGCGAUGAGCAACCCAGUCUUUGAUGUAGAUAAAGGCCUGGAGGUGACCAUGAACUCUCCUGAGAAAAGCAGAAGUAAGAAGAAGUAGCUACUUGGUAGAUAAGAUAAACGGGACCGCAUCCAGAAGAUGAGAGAAUGUUGCUGCGCGUGGACAAGGGGUCUACACCAAUUGUGUGAGCGCUCUAGUCGCGUGAACAGAGAUUGUAAGCCAAUCGUAUAACUGUCACUAGCGCGUGCUCUGC